This is a non-coding RNA of Ascosphaera aggregata, 88 nucleotides long. The record is from the annotation of a GenBank genome assembly. NCBI's taxonomy places the organism in Eukaryota, Fungi, Ascomycota, Eurotiomycetes, Onygenales, Ascosphaeraceae.
GGCUCAAUGGUCUAGAGGUAUGAUUCGCGCUUUGGGUUUAUUUCGACUGAAAUGCGCGAGGCCCCGGGUUCGAUCCCCGGUUGAGCCC